CCCCUAGUAACUGCGAGUGAAGCGGGAAAAGCUCAAAUUUAAAAUCUGGCAGUUUUACUGUCCGAGUUGUAAUCUAGAGAAGUGCUAUCCGCGCUGGACCGUGUACAAGUCUCCUGGAAUGGAGCGUCAUAGAGGGUGAGAAUCCCGUCUUUGACACGGACUGCCAGGGCUUUGUGAUGCGCUCUCAAAGAGUCGAGUUGUUUGGGAAUGCAGCUCAAAAUGGGUGGUAAAUUCCAUCUAAAGCUAAAUAUUGGCGAGAGACCGAUAGCGAACAAGUACCGUGAGGGAAAGAUGAAAAGAACUUUGGAAAGAGAGUUAAACAGUACGUGAAAUUGCUGAAAGGGAAACGCUUGAAGUCAGUCGCGUUGUCCAGGGAUCAACCUUGCUUUUGCUUGGUGCACUUUCUGGUUGACGGGUCAGCAUCAAUUUUGACUAUUGGAAAAAGAUCAGGGGAAUGUGGCAUCUUUGGAUGUGUUAUAGCCCUUGGUUGCAUACAAUGGUUGGGAUUGAGGAACUCAGCACGCCGCAAGGCCGGGUUUUUAACCACGUACGUGCUUAGGAUGCUGGCAUAAUGGCUUUAAUCGACCCGUCUUGAAACACGGACCAAGGAGUCUAACAUGCCUGCGAGUGUUUGGGUGGAAAACCCGAGCGCGUAAUGAAAGUGAAAGUUGAGAUCCCUGUCGUGGGGAGCAUCGACGCCCGGACCAGACCUUUUGUGACGGUUCCGCGGUAGAGCAUGUAUGUUGGGACCCGAAAGAUGGUGAACUAUGCCUGAAUAGGGUGAAGCCAGAGGAAACUCUGGUGGAGGCUCGUAGCGAUUCUGACGUGCA
RNAcentral lists this ribosomal RNA (830 nucleotides) under Cortinarius sp. 'pallidus 1' FS-2012. RNAcentral's name for it is "eukaryotic LSU rRNA". It matches the Rfam family "Eukaryotic large subunit ribosomal RNA", at positions 77 to 895 of the family's 3401-position model. The record is from RNAcentral. Lineage: Eukaryota; Fungi; Basidiomycota; Agaricomycetes; Agaricales; Cortinariaceae.